Long non-coding RNA from Chiroxiphia lanceolata (lance-tailed manakin), 1501 nucleotides. RefSeq lists it as uncharacterized. The transcript has 3 exons. NCBI's taxonomy places the organism in Eukaryota, Metazoa, Chordata, Aves, Passeriformes, Pipridae. The record is from RefSeq and is a predicted model, not a curated record.
CUAUUUUAAGAGUAACACCUACUUUUUUUGCCCAAUCAACAGCCAUUUUCACUGUCAGGAGAAUCAGCCAACCAUUUGUAGUAAUUUUCACCAAGAUCUAUUCAACUUCCUUCUUAUGUCUAAUUGGUACUCUUUGUUCUAAUAUUAAAUGUGCAUGUUAGAUAAAGAAUUCCACUGCUCUAGAAAAGAGAGAUUUGGAGACCAGUAGGUGCUAAAUGGCAAUAACUAAUAACCAGUUCUGUUAAGUACAGACUUAAAAAGGGAAGCAGGUACAUACUGCUCUGAAAGAGGCAUCCAGAGGCCAGUGGCCAAAACAGUGUUGUAGAAAGAUGUAAAGCUUCUCCUGGACAAACCGAGGAAUUACAACCCUGCAAACAGAUUCAAAGACAGUCACAUGUACAGACCAGCAGCAAAUUUUAAAAACAAAACCACCUAACCCACCAACAACCCAACACACUGCCACAACUGCAAAUACAGAAAGGACUGACCAAAACUUGUUCUUUCUUAACUGAUGCUACUUCUGGCCACUGAGUUUCAACUCAAAUUCAUAAAUAGCAGAUACUAAACUAACCUUGGCAAGAAUCCUCUGGUAGCAUUUCUUUUCUCUGACUUGUGCCAGGAUAUAGACUAGUGUGUCAUAGCUGCUGCCCAGGCUGCCCCCCCCCCCGUGGGAGUGAGAAAUAUAAUCCAUUACUUUUGUACUUUUAAUAAUGUACUUCUGUAUCUAAGGAUCAAAACAACUCAACCCCUCGGUGAAAGCUGAGCUUUUCAGGGAGAAGCCCUACACAUUUCAGAGACAGGCUGCUCAUGUACCUACCUUUUAAACUCCUCCAGUGGACUGGCUGUGUGGGAGUGGGCUGAAGGGGAGAGGGGCUCUGGUUUCAGGCUGUUGCUGAAAGCAUGCAGGUGUUUCACAAGCAGUCUUACCACUAGCACAUGCUCUUCAGUGGGCUUAAAUGACUCCUAGAUUCAAAGCAAAAGAGAGGAAACUAAUAAGUGUCAUAUGCUAAAUGUCCAGGAAAUAAUUCAGGAAAACUAUAUUCUCAGCUCAAAAUACAAGAAAUGCUCUCUUCCUUCUAGGUUCUUCACCAUAGUUUGGUGCCACCUGAUUUUGGGCAGGUUUGCUCCCCAGGACAAGCUGUAUCAAUCUUCUGCCAUCAGUUCACUAAGAAACAGCAACAUAUUUUGAUUGUAAGAAAAGAAGUUGAGAAGAAACAAAAGUUACAGCUGCAAGUAUAAUGGGAAGUCCUGGGAGAGCGUAUUACACAAGAGCUGCAAGAUGUUUCCAGGAUGGCAGGUGCAGCCAUGCUAAGGAAAGUUACUUAUCUGGGAUCUGUCUUGGCCCAUGAAAGCAAACAAAUCUGGCUGCUGGACAAAGAAAGAGCAAGUUCUGCAGAAGCUCAUCCCACCUUCCAAUACAGGUAUGUAGCCAUUUGAAAUGACUGAUGGUCAAACAGGUCUAGAUCCAGGGAUGAGGAGUCACUAAUUAUCCCUCCUUUCA